UUUCGAAGUAUAAACACACGCGGAGCCGGUGAAUCCGCUUACCGCUCACCUGGACGCAUGCGCAUUAUGCGCACGUUACACGUUUAUCUCUGUAUACAUCGCGUAGUAUUGUAUUUUUUGUCGUCCGCGUUUCGAUGUGUGACAAGUGACAACCGAACACAAUGAAAAGUUUAAUCGCGCGCAAUCAGCAAAUGCCGUUAGGCCAAUUUUCAACAAACACGUUGAAAAAACACUAAAAACAAAACUGUACAGUGUGAUUAAUGUGAUAACUCGCUUUAAAUUGCCCAUUGGUUGAGUAGUGUACAUUGUGACCAUGUAAAGUUAUAAAAUACAACAAAUUACAAAACAACGUUUGGAAAUGAUCACUGCCAUCAUGAUAACGGACAUCGAGGUUAUUAACUGAGUGCAAUAUCGGAUUAUCUAACUUUUAACUAGGUGCAAGUAACUUAUUACAUUAUGAAGUGUUUGCAAUAUUGUCAAGUGCGAUAAUAGUUAUUUAUUAAGUGCUUACAGUGUGUUUUUUGUGACUUUUGGUAAUAAAAUGGAGGAACCAGUAAGACUAUCGCGAUAUUAUGGGUUGCUGUCGACGCUCGCCAACGAUCUAGAUCAAAUGCUCAGCGAGUUAUACUCUACAUCGCCAUUGCCGUAUGAUCGACUCGAGGCAGACAACGAAAUUCCAAACACAAGAAAUCUCAUCGAUACAGCUAAUAAAUAAACAGGCACAACCCCAGGAAGUCAUGAUACAUGUGAAAAU
Molecule: long non-coding RNA, 754 nt
Organism: Dalotia coriaria
Lineage: Eukaryota; Metazoa; Arthropoda; Insecta; Coleoptera; Staphylinidae
Exons: 3
Source: RefSeq, a predicted model, not a curated record